GGGUCGAUUUUACUAUUAAAGAGUACUCUUUAAUAGUAAAUUCGAACAUAAGUGAUGCAUAUUGCCUGUGCAAUCAAGGUACUUUGCAUGUACAUCAGAAAUGUACAUUUCCAUUCAAACCACUUGUAUACAAGAAUGGAACCAGCUGAACAUGAGCCAGGUUAUCUAUUAUAUAUAUGAUCUACCCCUUUGAUUUAGUACUGUGUAAGGAAAUAUGCUAUUGGGUAUAUAUUUUAAAAAAAGAAUAACGAAGAACAACAAUUUUCAUUCAUAUUUUAUUCAACAUAUAUUUACACAGGUUGAUAACAAUGGCUGAUCUGCAUAUAAUGACUGCUAGUUGUUGGCUGGUAUGUGGUGAAAGGGAGCUAAAAAGGAGUAAAAAGUUCAUUUCAGCCAGGUAGUGUGGCUGAAAUAAACCAGUGUUAAGGAAUGUUCAGCAAUGACAUGACAUCAUGAGAGUUUUUCAUACAGACGUUCACAUGAUUAAUGAUGAAACUGAAGACCUCAAGUGAAAGGCAUGGGAAAUUAUCCAGUUCCAAUAUACCUGAAAAAGAGGAGGGAUGCCACAAUAUUGAUAAUAGAUUUUUGUCAAUUUGAGAAUCAAAGAUGUAAAAAAAAAAAAAAAAAAAAAAAAAAAAAAAAAAAAAAAUUGCAGAAAUCAUAAUUCAUGUAUUUAUUAAAAAUACUGUUCACUGCACAUACAUGUAUAUCUUUUAACUUAUUUGGAAAUACAUAAAGUAAUUCAUAUUAAAACUGAAUGUAUGAGUUUUCAUGACUUUUAUCAAUAAAGCUUACCAUAUUUAUUG
Long non-coding RNA from Ostrea edulis (European flat oyster), 806 nucleotides. RefSeq lists it as uncharacterized. The transcript has 2 exons. Lineage: Eukaryota; Metazoa; Mollusca; Bivalvia; Ostreida; Ostreidae. The record is from RefSeq and is a predicted model, not a curated record.